AUUGAACGCUGGCGGCAGGCCUAACACAUGCAAGUCGAGCGAGCGGCGGACGGGUGAGUAAUGUAUGGGGACUGCCCGAUAGAGGGGGAUAACUACUGGAAAAGGUGGCUAAUACCGCAUACUGUAGGAUAACCCAUAUGGGAUUAGCUAGUAGGUAAGGGAAUGGGUUACCUAGGAGACGAUCCCUAGCUGGUCUGAGAGGAUUAUCAGCCACACUGGGACUGAGACACGGCCCAGAGUCCUACGGAGUCAGCAGUGGGGAAUAGUGCACAAUGGGCGCAAGCCUGAUGCAGCCAUGCCGCGUGUAUGAAGAAGGCCCUAGGGUUGUAAAGUAUUUUCAGUCGGGAGGCGUUACCGACAGAAGAAGCACCGGCUAACUCCGUGCCAGCCGCCGCGGUAAUAC
Molecule: ribosomal RNA, 403 nt
Filed under: uncultured bacterium
Lineage: Bacteria
Description: partial 16S ribosomal RNA
Rfam family: Bacterial small subunit ribosomal RNA
Source: RNAcentral